This 597-nucleotide ribosomal RNA is filed under the name Triticum aestivum (bread wheat). RNAcentral's name for it is "partial small subunit ribosomal RNA". Lineage: Eukaryota; Viridiplantae; Streptophyta; Magnoliopsida; Poales; Poaceae. The record is from RNAcentral.
AUGGCGUCUAGCGAGGGAAAUUAUCACCGUAGAGGUUCUUACUUUGCUGGUACUAAUUUUGCUAGUUGGGAGCAUAAAAUGAAAAUGCAUAUUCUUGGACAUAACCCCGCCGUUUGGGCUAUUGUGUGUGUUGGUUUGCAAGGUGACUUCUUUGAUGGGAGAGAACCGAACCGUGAAGUUACCGCGGAUGAGUUGAAGAUGUUGCAAUACAAUGCUCAAGCUUGUGAUAUUCUCUUCAACGGAUUGUGCCACGAAGAAUUCAACAAAAUCAGCCGCCUUGAGAAUGCAAAGAAAAUUUGGGACACUUUGAUUGAUAUGCACGAAGGUACCGACUUUGUCAAGGAAUCCAAGUUGGAUGUGCUUCAAAGCCAAUUUGAUAAGUUCAAGAUGAAGGAUGGUGAAGGUGUCGCCGAAAUGUACUCUAGGCUUGCUCUCAUCACAAAUGAGAUUGCCGGCUUAGGAAGUGAAGAGAUGAUCGAUAAAUUCAUCAUCAAGAAGAUUCUAAGAGCCUUGGAUGGAAAAUAUGAUACCGUGUGCACAUUGAUUCAAAUGAUGCACAAUUACAACGGAGGUGAUUGGAAGAAUUGUUGCUCAUGA